RNAcentral lists this non-coding RNA (29 nucleotides) under Mus musculus (house mouse). Lineage: Eukaryota; Metazoa; Chordata; Mammalia; Rodentia; Muridae. The record is from RNAcentral.
UGGCCUCAGGUCCCUGGGAUGGUAUUUGG